GACGAACGCUGGCGGCGUGCCUAAUACAUGCAAGUUGAGCGCUGAAGGUUGGUACUUGUACCAACUGGAUGAGCAGCGAACGGGUGAGUAACGCGUGGGGAAUCUGCCUUUGAGCGGGGGACAACAUUUGGAAACGAAUGCUAAUACCGCAUAAAAACUUUAAACACAAGUUUUAAGUUUGAAAGAUGCAAUUGCAUCACUCAAAGAUGAUCCCGCGUUGUAUUAGCUAGUUGGUGAGGUAAAGGCUCACCAAGGCGAUGAUACAUAGCCGACCUGAGAGGGUGAUCGGCCACAUUGGGACUGAGACACGGCCCAAACUCCUACGGGAGGCAGCAGUAGGGAAUCUUCGGCAAUGGACGAAAGUCUGACCGAGCAACGCCGCGGGAGUGAAGAAGGUUGUCGGAUCGUAAAACUCGGUUGGUAGAGAAGAACGUUGGUGAGAGUGGAAAGCUCAUCAAGUGACGGUAACUACACAGAAAGGGACGGCUAACUACGUG
RNAcentral lists this ribosomal RNA (497 nucleotides) under uncultured bacterium. RNAcentral describes it as "partial 16S ribosomal RNA". It matches the Rfam family "Bacterial small subunit ribosomal RNA", at positions 28 to 507 of the family's 1533-position model. The record is from RNAcentral.